UGGGGAAUUUUGCACAAUGGGGGAAACCCUGAUGCAGCGACGCCGCGUGAUUUAGAAGGCCUUCGGGUUGUAAAAUUCUUUUCUAUGGGAAGAAAAUGACAGUACCAUAGGAAUAAGGACCGGCUAAUUACGUGCCAGCAGCCGCGGUAAUACGUAAGGUCCGAGCGUUGUCCGGAAUCAUUGGGCGUAAAGGGUACGUAGGCGGGUAAGCAAGUUAGAAGUGAUAUCCUAUAGCUCAACUAUAGUAAGCUUUUAAAACUGCUCAUCUUGAGGUAUGGAAGGGAAAGUGGAAUUCCUAGUGUAGCGGUGAAAUGCGCAGAUAUUAGGAGGAAUACCGGUGGCGAAGGCGACUUUCUGGCCAUAACCUGACGCUGAGGUACGAAAGCGUGGGUAGCAAACAGG
RNAcentral lists this ribosomal RNA (402 nucleotides) under bacterium. RNAcentral's name for it is "partial 16S ribosomal RNA". It matches the Rfam family "Bacterial small subunit ribosomal RNA", at positions 355 to 776 of the family's 1533-position model. The record is from RNAcentral.